RNAcentral lists this long non-coding RNA (1202 nucleotides) under Homo sapiens (human). Its description in RNAcentral is "HSALNT0363109". The stretch from base 2 to 76 matches the Rfam family "Small nucleolar RNA SNORD26". Lineage: Eukaryota; Metazoa; Chordata; Mammalia; Primates; Hominidae. The record is from RNAcentral.
GCUACGGGGAUGAUUUUACGAACUGAACUCUCUCUUUCUGAUGGAUUAGUGGAGAAAACAGAAAAUUCUGAGUAGCACUGUACUGUACGCAACAAAUGUCAGGGCCCUAUUGAUUUGUCUGAGGUGUUAGUGAAGGGUGUUAUUUUUUCAGAUGUUCAGCCCACAAGAGCUUACUGGUGAAGGAAUGGGACAAGACCCAUCUUUAUGCAAAGCCAGCGUUACAGUAAUGUUCCAGCAUCUCAUAAUCUAUCCUGGGGAAUUCAGCUGCCUCCCAGGGUGAAUACAGGUAUUCCUGAUGACAGUCUGCCUCUAUCUUACAGAGCAGCUUGUUGCUAUAUACCAUUGAAAAGCCUUCAGAGCUGAGAGGUACUACUAACCAAUAACCUGCUUGGCUCAAAGGGCCAGCACCUUCUCUCUAAAGCCCAAGAGGAGUUUGAGGAAAACUAGGUGUCUGUGUUCACUCCAGGCUGAAGUUACAGGUCUGAGCAAAUAAGGUGUAUAAAAAAUGGAAUCUGUCUUGGAGGACAUCAGAAGGUGAAUUUUCCAAGUUCUUGGACAACCUAGCUGUUGAAAAGCUUUCUGGGUUUGGGGGGUAUUUCAGAUGUACCUUAAAGUGUUAGCAGACACAGAUUAAGACACUGGGAGCCAAUGAAACAGCAGUUGAGGGUUUGCUGUGUAUCACAUUUCUGUAUUUUAUCACCCCCUUCCUGCAACAUUAUUUAUCUGGAAUCUACCUGCCCUUUUGUUUUUUAGAUACAAGGGCUUGGUUUUGUUACCCAGGCUGGUUUCAAGGCCAUAGCUUUAAGAGAUCCUCUCACCACAGAUUUCCAAAGUGCUGGGAUUGCAGGUGUGAUUCAUGGCACCCAGACUUUGCUGCCUUUCUUACAUGAUCCAGGCCCAGAACCCAAACUCAGGCACUGUAUAGAUGACCACUUUCGUAAACUACUGACCUAGCUUGUUGCCAAUUGUUGAUUGAACUUCCCAUAACUCCACUUCGUGUCUGUUCCUCUGUAUACAGCCACCUUCUGUUCCCGUCAUGAGCCUUUAGGUCUCCAUUUGCAUAUUGCAAAUACUAUGUUCCAUGUAGGUAGCUCAUUCAGGGCCUUGCUCUUCACUUCAAAAAAGGUUCCCUUGAGGACUGGCUGUCAAUUUGUGUUGCUGUGUUGGUUGUUGAUGAAAAUAAUAAAAUGAUUGAUUACAUA